GAGAACAGCACUACUCAUUCAGUGAGUGAAUGGGGACAGGAGAACAGCACUACUCAUUCAGUGAGUGAAUGGGGACAGGAGAACAGCACUACUCAUUCAGUGAGUGAAUGGGGACAGGAGAACAGCACUACUCAUUCAGUGAGUGAAUGGGGACAGGAGAACAGCACUACUCAUUCAGUGAGUGAAAGGGGACAGGAGAACAGCAUUGACUAUUGAAAUCAUUUAAUGCUUUUAAAAACAAAUACAAGUUACUUCACUGGAUCAUCACAUGUGAACAAGAAUAGAUUUUUUUCCACCAAUAUUUGUAAUAACACCCUCAGACAUAUUUCCCAUUCACAUGGCUGCAUACAGACAACUUCUCUCUCUUUUUAUUUCGUUGCAGUUGAUUAUUUACAGUCAAUCUAAGGAAUGCAUCGGCUCUGUGACAAUAAUAGCUCAUAUCGGCAGCAUAUUAAAACCUUGCUGUUUGGGAUGCAAAAUUCCGGUAACUUUCCCCCAAGAUUCCCAGGUUUUCCAGACAUUCCAGUUGGAAGAUUUCUGGAAUCAGGAGGGAACAAGCAGAAUGUGAACGCGACCUACUGUGCUGGAGUGGUCAGAUUCAGGUGGAUGAUGGUGGUAACACUAAUUUAUGCAUAUCAACUCAAUCUAGCCAUCAAAGGUAGGGGUGAACAUUUCCAGUAACUUCCGCCAAAUUCCCAGAAGUCCAGACUGGAGUUACCAGAAUUUUGCAAACCUAAUCAUAGUUGAUCUGUAUUAUAUAUGUUUGCAGUCAAAAUAGGUCUGUUGUUGUGGGUUGAUAGGUCUGUUAUUGUGGGGACGAUAGGUCUAUUGUUGUGGGGAUGAUAGAUCUGUUGUUGUGGGUUGAUAGGUCUGUUGUUGUGGGGGAGAUAGGUCUGUUGUUGUGGAUUGAUAGGUCUGUUGUUGUGGGGAUGAUAGGUCUGUUGUUGUGGGGACGAUAGGUCUGUUGUUGUGAGGAUGAUAGGUCUGUUGUUGUGGGUUGAUAGGUCUGUUGUUGUGGGUUGAUAGGUCUGUUGUUGUGGGGAGAUAUGUUGUUGUGGGGAUGAUAGGUCUGUUGUUGUGGGUUGAUAUGUCUGUUGUUGUGGGGACGAUAGGUCUAUUGUUGUGGGGACAAUAGGUCUGUUGUUAUGGGGAUGAUAGGUCUGUUGUGGGGAUGAUAGGUCUGUUGUUGUGGGUUGAUAGGUCUGUUGUUGUGGGUUGAUAGGUAUGUUGUUGUGGGUUGAUAGGUCUGUUGUUGUGGGGAUGAUAGGUAUGUUGUUGUGGGUUGAUAUGUCUGUUGUUGUGGGGACGAUAGGUCUGUUGUUGUGGGGGAGAUAGGUCUGUUGUUGUGGGGACGAUAUGUCUGUUGAUUUGUGGGUUGAUAGGUCUGUUGUUGUGGGGACAAUAGGUCUGUUGUUGUGGGGACAAUAGGUCUGUUGUUGUGGGUUGAUAGGUCUGUUGUUGUGGGUUGGUAGGUCUGUUGUGGGGACGAUUGGUCUGUUGUUGUGGGGAGAUUGGUAUGUUGUUGUGGGGAGAUAUGUCUGUUGUUGUGGGGACGAUUGGUCUGUUGUUGUGGGUUGAUAGGUCUGUUGUGGGGACGAUAGGUCUGUUGUUGUGGGUUGAUAGGUCUGUUGUUGUGGGGACGAUAGGUCUGUUGUUGUGGGUUGAUAGGUCUGUUGUUGUGGGUUGAUAGGUCUGUUGUUGUGGGGACGAUAGGUCUGUUGUUGUGGGUUGAUAGGUCUGUUGUUGUGGGUUGAUAGGUCUGUUGUUGUGGGUUGAUAGGUCUGUUGUUGUGGGGGAGAUAGGUCUGUUGUUUUAGGGACGAUAGGUCUGUUGUUUAUUGAACAGGCAGGAGGGCCCCUAAAUAAAACCCAUCUAUAAUCUCAACUUCAAUAUUAUAUACAUUAUUUACAAUGGAAUGUUGGGCUGAAGCUUUCAGACUUAAUGCUAUUGUAUACAAAAGAGUUGAAGCCUUCAGACUUAAUGCUAUUGUAUACAAAAGAGUUGAAGCCUUCAGACUUAAUGCUAUUGUAUACAAAAGAGUUGAAGCCUUCAGACUUAAUGCUAUUGUAUACAAAAGAGUUGAAGCCUUCAGACUUAAUGCUAUUGUAUACAAAAGUAUAUUGAGGGAAUGACAAUGAAAAACAAGAUAGAGAAUAAUUUUUACAACAACCAUAAUCUAUGGAUUCAAGGACAACACCAAUACCUAAUUCUGUCAUUCUCCCAUGUUUUUUUAAUCAUUUCAGGUCAAGUAUGGCAGUGGUUCCUAAAAGGAACAAAACAUUGAUUUGUGCUUGAAAAGAAAUAUAAUUGACUUCAGUUAUGGAAAUGCUUUGGGCACUGGGACACCGUUGUGUCCUAAGGGUGUUUGAAUUAUACCAAAUCUCUCAAUUACUGUGGGAAUCAUUCUGUUUUCAACUCUGCAGACGUUCUCCAGCCAUUUAGGUGUUUUCACGGGGAAUCAAAGUGCUGGAGGGUUGAAGUGAAGAGGAAGUAACAUCUAAUGUCUCUCCUUUCUCUGUCAUGUGAUAGGACAUUAUGGAAGCUGUUUCUGACAUCACAGAGAUACAAGCUAUAUUAGGAUCAUUCCUCCUCAACUUUAACGUCAAAGAGAACUUCUCUUCUUCAUCUACGGUAAAUCAUUCUUUAUAUGCAAUAUAUUUGAACAAAACCUCACUUCUCACAAAAGGCAUAGGCCCUAACAUACCCGAAGGAAUAAGAAAAUAAAGGAUCAUGUAUGGUCUCUUUCAUAAAACGUGUUGCAUGUGGUUUUCUUUCAGAAUCAUUGCAGCAGAAAUAAAGAACACAAGGCGAAAAUAACAAUGGUUUAACGCCGUUAUAGUUCUCAUCUUUAAAGUCUAACACAUAGUGGUGGUUCAGAAUCAGAAUCACAUUAUAGUGGUGGUUCAGAAUCAGAAUCACAUUAUAGUGGUGGUUCAGAAUCAGAAUCACAUUAUAGUGGUGGUUCAGAAUCAG
This is a long non-coding RNA of Oncorhynchus tshawytscha (Chinook salmon), 2973 nucleotides long. NCBI's taxonomy places the organism in Eukaryota, Metazoa, Chordata, Actinopteri, Salmoniformes, Salmonidae. The record is from Ensembl.